GACGAACGCUGGCGGCGUGCCUAAUACAUGCAAGUCGAACGAGAGCGACCGGUGCUUGCACUGGUCAAUCUAGUGGCGAACGGGUGAGUAACACGUGGGUAACCUGCCCAUCAGAGGGGGAUAACAUCCGGAAACGGAUGCUAAAACCGCAUAGGUCUUCGAGCCGCAUGGCUUGAAGAGGAAAAGAGGCGCAAGCUUCUGCUGAUGGAUGGACCCGCGGUGCAUUAGCUAGUUGGUGAGGUAACGGCUCACCAAGGCCGUGAUGCAUAGCCGACCUGAGAGGGUGAUCGGCCACAUUGGGACUGAGACACGGUCCAAACUCCUACGGGAGGCAGCAGUAGGGAAUCUUCCGCAAUGGACGCAAGUCUGACGGAGCAACGCCGCGUGAGUGAAGAAGGUUUUCGGAUCGUAAAACUCUGUUGUUAGGGAAGAACAAGUGCUAGAGUAACUGUUAGCGCCUUGACGGUAUCUAACCAGAAAGCCACGGCUAACUACGUG
This 498-nucleotide ribosomal RNA is filed under the name uncultured bacterium. RNAcentral describes it as "partial 16S ribosomal RNA". It matches the Rfam family "Bacterial small subunit ribosomal RNA", at positions 28 to 507 of the family's 1533-position model. The record is from RNAcentral.